GCAAAAAUGAGUGAAAGGGAAAGAAGAAAAAAAGCAUGGUUUUCAUAAUUUUCAUGCGUAAAAGAAAGUAGGAAAAACAAGUUGGAAAGGUGAAAGGAGAUGAGGCGUGAAGGAAAAAGCAAGGUGGUUCCUUUUAUCUGUUGAACAAAAAAAUAUUGAAUGAAUGGUUAGAUUAAAAAGGAGGACAAAAACCUGUUGUGUGGUUGACAGCAGCUAAAUGGUUCCCUCCAAAUCCAACCGAUCCAGUGGUACUUAGUGAAAUGAGGGGCUGAAUCUGAAUUCUGAAGUCGAUGUGCUGCUGCAUACCUGCCUGCCUGCCAGCUUAUUGUGUGGCUCAGAAACAACAAGAAUUUCCAAUUGCCCCAUGCACCUGGAAAAGCAUGUGGAGGUAGUAACAAUAAUGUAUCCACUCUUGUCCCACCCAUCACAUAACCUAUGUUUUUCUGAUCACUUGGAAUGAAUGUUGAUUUUGAGUUCAUAUUUGUCCAAUACAAAGCAUAAUAUUAUAUGUUUUUUGUUUAAAAAAGAUCACAAAUCAUAAGCAAACAUAGGUACAUAAUCAGCUGAGCUGGUGGAUUGAACUCGUUGGGGCGUUAGCUUGAGAGCACAGGCAGGGUGGUGAAUAGGGGGAGAAAGGCACGAAAAUAUCAGACGCACCAAAUCCAAUAUCAACUUUAUCGAUUUCUACCCAACACAGGCACUAGCAGGAAAGGAAGAGAGAGAAAGGGGGGAUAGUCAUUCCCCCCACAAACACAAACAGCAACAAAUAGCUUCUGCAGGCUUUAUACAGGGAGACUUGCUUUUCUAUAUUUGGUACAUGUAGUUAGAUAUUAGGAGGUCCUGUUGCUUUUCAAUCCUUUUCAUCUUCAACUCAACACCCAAUUUUGAAUUUUAAAAUUUUUAGCUCUGAUUAUUUUAGGUUUUUUUCUUGUUUUAACUUGUGGAUUUAUGAGUUUGUGGUUUGGGUUUUUAGGUUAAACCAUCUUAGUUCAGUCAUUUUUGGUAAGUGUGAAUUUCCUUUUUAUCAAUUUGGACAAAUCUGGUUUAUUCAGUUCUUCAAACCUUUUUCUUUCUUCUUGUGACAAAUCAGGUUAGAAAUAGGUUUAAAUUCGGGUUAAUAGAGUUAAUUAAAUUUUGAGUUUGGGUCAAAAGUGUCCGACCCACAUACAUGGAUAAUAUGUAUUUAAAUAAGUAUUCAUGUAUUUUGUGGUAUCAUAUUUUUUUAGAUAAAUUUUGAUAAAGAAUAAAAGGGAGG
This 1255-nucleotide long non-coding RNA is filed under the name Gossypium barbadense (sea-island cotton). RNAcentral's name for it is "long non-coding RNA (GBAR_LNC011967)". The record is from RNAcentral. Lineage: Eukaryota; Viridiplantae; Streptophyta; Magnoliopsida; Malvales; Malvaceae.